UACGUAGGCAGCAAGCGUUGUUCGGAAUUACUGGGCGUAAAGAGUGUGUAGGCGGUGCUCUAAGUUCGGUGUGAAAUCUCCCGGCUCAACUGGGAGGGUGCGCCGGAAACUGGGGUGCUGGAGCGCGGGAGAGGAAAGCGGAAUUCCUGGUGUAGCGGUGAAAUGCGUAGAUAUCAGGAGGAACACCGGCGGUGUAGACGGCUUUCUGGACCGUAGCUGACGCUGAGGAGCGAAAGCGUGGGGAGCGAACAGG
RNAcentral lists this ribosomal RNA (253 nucleotides) under uncultured bacterium. Its description in RNAcentral is "partial 16S ribosomal RNA". It matches the Rfam family "Bacterial small subunit ribosomal RNA", at positions 524 to 776 of the family's 1533-position model. The record is from RNAcentral.